Molecule: ribosomal RNA, 622 nt
Filed under: uncultured bacterium
Lineage: Bacteria
Description: bacterial SSU rRNA
Rfam family: Bacterial small subunit ribosomal RNA (bases 1-545)
Source: RNAcentral
CCUACGGGAGUCAGCAGUGGGGAAUAUUGGACAAUGGGCGCAAGCCUGAUCCAGCCAUGCCGCGUGUGUGAAGAAGGCCUUCGGGUUGUAAAGCACUUUUAUCCGGAAAGAAAAGCUUUGGGUUAAUACCCUGAAGUCAUGACGGUACCGGAAGAAUAAGCACCGGCUAACUUCGUGCCAGCAGCCGCGGUAAUACGAAGGGUGCAAGCGUUACUCGGAAUUACUGGGCGUAAAGCGUGCGUAGGUGGUUUGUUAAGUCUGAUGUGAAAGCCCUAGGCUCAACCUGGGAAUUGCAUUGGAUACUGGCAGGCUAGAGUGCGGUAGAGGAUAGUGGAAUUCCCGGUGUAGCAGUGAAAUGCGUAGAGAUCGGGAGGAACAUCUGUGGCGAAGGCGACUAUCUGGGCCAGCACUGACACUGAGGCACGAAAGCGUGGGGAGCAAACAGGAUUAGAUACCCUGGUAGUCCACGCCCUAAACGAUGCGAACUGGAUGUUGGGUGCAACUAGGCACUCAGUAUCGAAGCUAACGCGUUAAAGUUCGCCGCCUGGGGAAGUUACGGUUGCAAGACGAGAAGUUAAUUAGAGUUAGAGCGNGAGAGNGCGAGGCGACGACGAGGAGGAGG